UACGAAGGGGGCUAGCGUUGUUCGGAUUUACUGGCGUAAAGCGCACGUAGGCGGAUCGUUAAGUCGGGGGUGAAAUCCUGGAGCUCAACUCCAGAACUGCCUUCGAUACUGGCGAUCUUGAGUCCGGAAGAGGUGAGUGGAACUCCUAGUGUAGAGGUGGAAUUCGUAGAUAUUGGGAAGAACACCGGUGGCGAAGGCGGCAACCUGGUCCUUGACUGACGCUGAGGCGCGAAAGCAUGGGGAGCGAACAGG
Molecule: ribosomal RNA, 252 nt
Filed under: uncultured bacterium
Lineage: Bacteria
Description: partial 16S ribosomal RNA
Rfam family: Bacterial small subunit ribosomal RNA
Source: RNAcentral